This 634-nucleotide long non-coding RNA is filed under the name Equus caballus (horse). Its description in RNAcentral is "lncRNA (ENSECAG00000058260.1)". The record is from RNAcentral. Lineage: Eukaryota; Metazoa; Chordata; Mammalia; Perissodactyla; Equidae.
AAUCAUCCCACUUCCAUCAUGACUCUUGACAGGUUAUUAAAAUAUAUGUGUUCAUGUGGUUAAUUUUUGACCCGGGAAUGGAAGAUGGAGAAACGACAGCAGUGUUGAAAAGAAGGAACAGUUGUGUACGUGUGUCUACGCACGUAAGACGGAGCAGGCUUUGCCGUCUGCCUUUCGUUUUCCAGGUGGCUGGUUCUCCGAAGGAGUCGGCCACCAGGAGACGAAGCCACCGGUCAGAGGAAGCCCAACCUCGACAGCAGGACCUCCAGCCCACCGGUCACCGUCAGCAGCCGCUUCCUGGGACAGGACGUGUGAGCAGGGUCACGGCUGGGGAGCCAGGCCACCUUGACUCAGCACCCCUGUCUUCUGUUUCCUGGCUGUGCUGCAUUAGCACCAUUCACAACAGCCAAGAUGUGGAAGCCACCCAAGUGCCUAUCAACUGAUGAACAGAUGAAGAAGAUGUGGUAUAUUUAUACAGUGGAAUACUACUCAGCCAUGAACAAACAAAAUUGUGCCAUUUGCACCAUGGAUGGACUUUGAGGGUAUUAAACAAACACUCUACGAUUUCACUCAUAUGCAGAAGAGAAACUAACACAGGGAUAAGAGAACAGAUCAGUGGUUACCAGAGGGGAAG